Anopheles arabiensis is the source of this 556-nucleotide long non-coding RNA. RefSeq lists it as uncharacterized. Lineage: Eukaryota; Metazoa; Arthropoda; Insecta; Diptera; Culicidae. The transcript has 3 exons. The record is from RefSeq and is a predicted model, not a curated record.
AUAUUGCUUGACGUCGGUGUCGGUUGCGGUGUGAGAAACAGUCCACGAGGAUCGUGCUGAGGUCGCGGGCAGGAAGGAGUGGUACGUGGAUUCAGGUUCAUGUCUGCUCUGACAGGUUCCUUUGGACGUGCACACACAUAAACACACACACACGUACAGUGAAGCUGAUGGGGAAGUGAUCUCAAGCUUUUUUGGGAAGACGCGAUCGCUAACCUGCCGGCCAGGAACAUAAAACGGACUAACAGGACUGCCCUUCCAAGUACACAAACACAUCCCAAAAACCCUGCCUUUGGAUGACCUGUUCGGAUGGGUGGAUGUUUACACUUGAUCCCGAUUCCCGGAACAGCUACCGGUAUUCGCCGCAACCCCUUGCUCAGCAGCGUUGAAGCAGCGCGUUGAAGUGUGAAAACAUGUUUUACUGCCUACCGGAGAAUCUCGCUCUGAGCUGGAAAAUUGGCUCGCAUUACUUGGCAGACACACUCUCGCACACAUGCUCAAAGAGUGCUUGUACUUUUCGGAGCCAAUUCACUUCAUCCUGAUUGAAAACCAAACGGAA